This 274-nucleotide ribosomal RNA is filed under the name uncultured bacterium. Its description in RNAcentral is "partial 16S ribosomal RNA". It matches the Rfam family "Bacterial small subunit ribosomal RNA", at positions 523 to 796 of the family's 1533-position model. The record is from RNAcentral.
AUACGGAGGGUGCAAGCGUUAAUCGGAAUUACUGGGCGUAAAGCGUACGUAGGCGGUUUAUUAAGUCAGAUGUGAAAGCCCCGGGCUUAACCUGGGAACUGCAUUUGAAACUAGUAGACUAGAGUAUGGUAGAGGGGGGUAGAAUUCCUAGUGUAGCGGUGAAAUGCGUAGAUAUUAGGAGGAAUACCAGUGGCGGAGGCGGCCCCCUGGACCAAUACUGACGCUGAGGUACGAAAGCGUGGGGAGCGAACAGGAUUAGAUACCCCAGUAGUCC